AACGAACGCUGGCGGCGUGCCUAACACAUGCAAGUCGAGCGAGGAGUCCGGGUCUUUGCGCGGACGGCUGAGUAACGCGUGGGAAUAUGCACUUCUGUACGGAAUACCUCUGAGAAACUGAGAGUAAUACCGUAUAGGCCCUAAUGGGGUAAGAUUUAUUGGAGAAGUAUGAGCCCGCGUUGGAUUCGGUGGUUGGUAGGGUAAUAGCUGACUAAGCCGAGGAUGAACAGCUGGUUUGGGAGAAUGAUUAGCGACACUUGGACUAAGACACGGCCCAGACUCCUACGGAAGGCGGCAGUGGGGAAUCUUAGAAAGUGGGGGCAACGCUGAUCUAGCCAUGCCCGGUAAGUGAUGAAGGCCUUGGGGUAGUAAUGCUCUAUCAGCUGGGAAGAUAAUGACGGUACCAGCAGAAGAAGCCCCGGCUAACUACGUG
Molecule: ribosomal RNA, 433 nt
Filed under: uncultured bacterium
Lineage: Bacteria
Description: partial 16S ribosomal RNA
Rfam family: Bacterial small subunit ribosomal RNA
Source: RNAcentral